GGGGGGGGGGGGGGGGGGGGGGAGGGCGGGGGGGGCGGGCGGUGGCGGGGGGAGGCUUGCGUCUUUGCUGGCGGGUGGCGGGCGGGUGGGUGGUGUCUGGGAAACGGCCUGAUGGAGGGGGAUAACUACUGGAAACGGUAGCUCAUACCGCCUCACGUCGCCAGACCAAAGAGGGGUACCUUCGGGCCUCUUGCCAUCGGAUGUGCCCAGAUGGGAUUAGCUAGUAGGUGGGGUAACGGCUCACCUAGGCGACGAUCCCUAGCUGGUCUGAGAGGAUGACCAGCCACACUGGAACGGAGACACGGUCCAGACUCCUACGGGAGGCAGCAGUGGGGAAUAUUGCACAAUGGGCGCAAGCCUGAUGCAGCCAUGCCGCGUGUAUGAAGAAGGCCUUCGGGUUGUAAAGUACUUUCAGCGGGGAGGAAGGGAGUAAAGUUAAUACCUUUGCUCAUUGACGUUACCCGCAGAAGAAGCACCGGCUAACUCCGUG
RNAcentral lists this ribosomal RNA (490 nucleotides) under uncultured bacterium. Its description in RNAcentral is "partial 16S ribosomal RNA". It matches the Rfam family "Bacterial small subunit ribosomal RNA", at positions 27 to 507 of the family's 1533-position model. The record is from RNAcentral.